UAAUAUUAGAGGUAAAUUAAUAUGAUAUGUUAGAAUAUAAUGGUGUGUGUGUGUGUCAAUUAUAAACAAACAGGCAAGGCAGGGUUUGAGAAAAGUGCAACAGAAUCCACCAACCCUAUAAAGAAAAAAAAGACAACUCCCUAAUUAAACAUGCACUCCCCUUUUCUAAACAAACUCCUCUCCUUCUUCUUCCUCUUCCUCUCUUCUUCUUCUCAUUGCUUGACGUCCUUGCCUCUUCGAGUCGUAAAGUUAACUAAUCUCUUUCGACGUACAUAGACAGAAGUGUAUAUAUAUAUAUUUAUGAGAAGUGAAGGUAGUUGUUGCUCGUUUUCUUACUUCAAGGUCUUGCUUGGAGCUGCGGCAGUUGGGAUGUUUGUAUGGCUUUUAAUCGUUGGCAUGCCCGACAGCAGAGAACGGUCGGUAGCAAAAACAACAAGCUGGCCGGCAGCUAGGUCUGAGUUUGAGGGAAGCCAUAUGAAGCAAGCCAAGGAGCUUAACUUCAUGAGCAAAGUUAAAGUCCCUAAAGGACCCGACCCAAUUCAUAACAGGCGAACGGGAGUAAAAGGACGGCCACCCGCCUGACCUUAGGCUUAGGCUUAGGCUUAGGCUUAGGCUUCCUCCAGUUUGAGAGCAACUCAUGUCUCUUGGUUCUUCUCAACGUUACCCUUUAAUGUUAAUUAACUUCAAACAACAUGCCUCUUAUUUGUAUUCUAAUUUCAAUAAUCCAAAAUAAAAAACAUCUGGAUUGUACAUA
Molecule: non-coding RNA, 754 nt
Organism: Cucurbita pepo subsp. pepo (vegetable marrow)
Lineage: Eukaryota; Viridiplantae; Streptophyta; Magnoliopsida; Cucurbitales; Cucurbitaceae
Source: RefSeq, a predicted model, not a curated record